ACACACUCAGGGAGUGCACCAUGUGAAGACUGGACUUAAACAGCUACACCACCAGAAGCCGAGAGAGAGGCUGGAACAUAGCCUUCCCUUUGGAGCCCUAGCAGAUGCUAAUCCAGCGUGCGUCCUGGCAGAGGUUGAAGGGGGCUCCUCAAGUCCCAGGUCCAGCUUGGUGUGGUUCAGCUACUCGAGAGACAUCUGCUGCUAAUGGAUGAGCAGUCAACCUGGACGCAGGAAAUCAUUUUUUAUUUGGGGCAAAGAGGCAGAGGAAUGGAGCUCAGAGCUUUUAGAGAAUAUGGGCCAGAAACAGGAAGGAGUCAGGACCUGAUAACGGGAACCAGCGGACAGUGAACGCAGUGGAGGGCCACUGGGGCCGGAGCAGCCGAGAGAUUUCAGGAGACAAGCAAAGUGGAUCAGCAAAGGCUGCAGUCACCAGCAUCUUUUCCAACCUUAAUGAACUGUAUCCUCAAAAGAACACUAUCAGACUGGCUCUGCCGACUUCCAGUUCUGGAACAAGAUGGUUAAACUCAUUUUUCCCUGCUCUGCUCCUCUAAAUACAACUAAGUACCUUGGAAACUAUUCAGCAGACAAUGAUAAAGGGCUCUGAAAGCUAGAAGAAAAGGUGUACUUGCAAGAAACCUCAGGACUUGAGUAACAGCAACAUGGCAGGCCAGAAAGCAGACCCAGGGAGGAUAGCACAUGUCUUCGGCUACACUGGUGAAGGCAUCGUGCCUGCUCCACAGCACAUUUUUAUUCAAGGAAAGGAGAAAGAGACUACCUACUGCAUUUCUGUCACUCGCUGAAAAGGACACUCUGUCAGAAAAUCUUCUAGCAAACUUCAAAGGGCAAAAUCACCCCUUGUUACUGAUAAAGCCCAGAGAGCUUCAGCAGCUAACAUUCCCUGGACAGGGCACAGCAAGGAUUUGAACCUAGGUCAGUCUGGCCAGAACACCCACAAGCUUUCCUUAACUCAGUGUGCUAUCUCCCCACGACUAGGUCACUACUGCUUUAUAAUCACCUUUGUAGCCACCAGUGGAUUUUGCUCAUCAGUAUUUUUCAGGCAAUUGAUACUUUAGAUAUUCAGCUGCAAGACGUAUGCAGUUUUCAUUGACAUCUUUUGGAGAAACUGACAAACCUGGACUUGACUUAAUGCCUUUGGAACCUUCCAAGAUGUUAUAUAACUCUAGAUAGAAGGCUGGGCCUCCAUGAUGUCAGGAAUGUUGCAUUCUUAUUUCCCCAUAGAUAAACCCAUUUGUCCACAAAGUCAAGGAGUCAGGCAGAGGCCCUUGCCAUGGGGCUUUUUAGGAUAAAGCAACAAGCCUGGACUUUGCUCUACAACAGGGUUUUGCAUAGGGAGUGGUAUGACCAGAUCCCUCAAGAAAGAAAGCUUAGAGACCAGGCCAGAGUCCACUGCAGUAGCCCAGUCAAGAGAGGAUGGUGACUUGGACUUGUAGUAGAGCCAGUUAGAAUGAAAGAAAUUGACACAUUCAGAAAUGGUUUUAGAGAUAGAGUCAAACUGGACCUGAUAAAGAACUAGAGAAGCGGAGUGAGGAUAAAGAGAAGAGCCAUGACUGACUCGGAAGAUUUUGUCUUGAAAAACUUGAGAACUCAAGACAGAGUGAAAUAAAAUCACAUGUGGGAAAAAUCUCCUGCUUUGUUUUGGACUACUUUGAAGUGAAAUGCCUGUUAAGCCUAAGUGGGGUAGGUCAUGGCGUACAUGACUGUGGGCUCAGGAUGGAUACAGGCAUUCAGGAGUUGUGAGCAAAUAGAACUUAAAGCCAUGAGAGAAGAAGGGAUCACCAAGAGAGACAGUGUGGCAUAGAGAAGAAAAGGGGUGGAAGACGAUCCCUGGGCAGAAAAGUCCUUAGAGCAGAGGCAACAGGCAUGACCAAGAAGACUAAGAAAGAACAUUCAGUACAGCAGGAGGAGAGCAAAAAAUGUGUGGUAUUCUAGAAGCAAAGAGAAUAAAGGGCUUCAGGAAGGAGCAGUCAAGUGUGUCAAAUAAGAUAAAGACAGACAAGUCCCCUGGAUUGGGUAGGAAUAAAAUAACAACAGACUGCCAUACAAAUGGUUCUAUCUACACCAUCUAAAAGAAUAUAGUUUAUUCUCCAUACAUUUAAGAAACACCUGCCAUAUGCCAGGUAUCCUUUCAAGCACUGAAAUGCAGAUUCAUAAAACAUGGUCUCUGCUCUCAAGGAGCUCACAGUGGUAAGGAGGAA
This 2216-nucleotide long non-coding RNA is filed under the name Homo sapiens (human). Its description in RNAcentral is "non-protein coding MIR4435-2HG:34". Lineage: Eukaryota; Metazoa; Chordata; Mammalia; Primates; Hominidae. The record is from RNAcentral.